GAUGAACGCUGGCGGCGUGCCUAAUACAUGCAAGUCGAGCGAACAGAUGAGGAGCUUGCUCCUCUGACGUUAGCGGCGGACGGGUGAGUAACACGUGGAUAACCUACCUAUAAGACUGGGAUAACUUCGGGAAACCGGAGCUAAUACCGGAUAAUAUAUUGAACCGCAUGGUUCAAUAGUGAAAGACGGUUUUGCUGUCACUUAUAGAUGGAUCCGCGCCGCAUUAGCUAGUUGGUAAGGUAACGGCUUACCAAGGCAACGAUGCGUAGCCGACCUGAGAGGGUGAUCGGCCACACUGGAACUGAGACACGGUCCAGACUCCUACGGGAGGCAGCAGUAGGGAAUCUUCCGCAAUGGGCGAAAGCCUGACGGAGCAACGCCGCGUGAGUGAUGAAGGUCUUCGGAUCGUAAAACUCUGUUAUUAGGGAAGAACAUAUGUGUAAGUAACUGUGCACAUCUUGACGGUACCUAAUCAGAAAGCCACGGCUAACUACGUG
RNAcentral lists this ribosomal RNA (497 nucleotides) under uncultured bacterium. RNAcentral's name for it is "partial 16S ribosomal RNA". It matches the Rfam family "Bacterial small subunit ribosomal RNA", at positions 28 to 507 of the family's 1533-position model. The record is from RNAcentral.